This 252-nucleotide ribosomal RNA is filed under the name uncultured bacterium. RNAcentral's name for it is "partial 16S ribosomal RNA". It matches the Rfam family "Bacterial small subunit ribosomal RNA", at positions 524 to 776 of the family's 1533-position model. The record is from RNAcentral.
UACGGGGGGGCAAGCGUUGUUCGGAAUUACUGGGCGUAAAGGGCUCGUAGGUGGCCAACUAAGUCAGACGUGAAAUCCCUCAGCUUAACUGGGGAACUGCGUCUGAUACUGGAUGGCUUGAGUUUGGGAGAGGGACGCGGAAUUCCAGGUGUAGCGGUGAAAUGCGUAGAUAUCUGGAGGAACACCGGUGGCGAAGGCGGCAUCCUGGACCAACACUGACACUGAUGAGCGAAAGCCAGGGGAGCAAACGGG